RNAcentral lists this ribosomal RNA (246 nucleotides) under Escherichia coli. RNAcentral's name for it is "partial 16S ribosomal RNA". It matches the Rfam family "Bacterial small subunit ribosomal RNA", at positions 1 to 243 of the family's 1533-position model. The record is from RNAcentral. Lineage: Bacteria; Pseudomonadati; Pseudomonadota; Gammaproteobacteria; Enterobacterales; Enterobacteriaceae.
AAAUUGAAGAGUUUGAUCAUGGCUCAGAUUGAACGCUGGCGGCAGGCCUAACACAUGCAAGUCGAACGGUAACAGGAAGCAGCUUGCUGCUUUGCUGACGAGUGGCGGACGGGUGAGUAAUGUCUGGGAAACUGCCUGAUGGAGGGGGAUAACUACUGGAAACGGUAGCUAAUACCGCAUAACGUCGCAAGACCAAAGAGGGGGACCUUCGGGCCUCUUGCCAUCGGAUGUGCCCAGAUGGGAUUA